GGUUUUACCAAUUGCACAAAAUCUUAUUUAUAAAAUUGCAUAAAACCUUAUUUUAUAAGUAUGCAAUAUUUACCAAUCGUAACCAUAAAAUAUAAUAACUCUGCAUGCAUGAGUUGAAAGUAUUAUAUGAUAAUUAUACCCCAGUCCUUAUGAUUACAUUAUUGGUGCAAGACAAUAAUAUGAAUAAUUAUUCUCAUAUGAUUUGAAGUUUGUAACCUUCACAAAUGCUUAUCAUCUAUGAUCUCAUAAUAAUUUGUAACUUUCACUGAUGCUUCUCAUAUAUGAUCAUCUCAUCAUGUGCAAAAGUGACAGAAGCAAGAUAUAUAUUCUUUGCCAUCGCGGCCCUUAGACGAUUCACAUGUACCGUCUUUAAUACCUGGUCUAUCUGUACAAGAUUUUUUGCAUGCUGCAGGACCGUCUUUACCUUUUUCACAAGUCCCACGUGCGAAAUAUGAUUUAUGCUUUUGACAAUUUUUUGGUGCAGGCUUCAACUUAGGUGAAGCUUGCACUCUUGAUAUUCCUAAUAAAUUAAAGAAUCGAUAUGUGAGAAAUGAGUGAGAAGCCUUCAAAAUCUCUCUAAUUAAAAAAGAAAAAUCUUUGUUUUAGUUAUAGAUCUUACUAAGUAUAACAAAUAUUAUGUUAUAGAAAAGACACUUAUUCAUUUAUGUUUUGAUCAAUUAGAUGUUAGAUUUUCUUCCCAAAAUUUUUUGGCUUAUCCUUGAUCUAAUGAUAAUGAUGACUAAAUGUAAUGGAAUCCUUAAAAAAUAAUUAUGAAACCCAUUUCACAUCACAUAUAUAAUAUGAUGUUGAUCAUUUAAAAACAAAUGUGCUUUCAAAGGUUCGAAUUUUGUUAAAGAAAUUGAAACACAUGUAAAUUGCGCUAGUAUUGACAUAUGUUUUUAGCUUUUUGAAUUUUAAAUAUAUAAACGCUAAACUCACGCGAAAUAAUCUGUAUAUUUAAGCGCUAAACAAACUUUUGAGAAAAAAUUACAAGAUUUGAAUAGUAAUCUAGAAAGUAGUUUACACCAAGCUAGGAAGCAAAACAAAAUAGAAUCUUUUUUUAUUACUUUUACUAGUUUUUACACAGGCUAAUAAUUUUCUUAAAAACCAUGUUUAAAAAUAUGAUAAAAAAGUAGUUAUAUGUAAUUUAAACACAAAUAAGAAAAAGAUUUCCAAAAGUAUCAUAAUGUAUAUUACCUGUUAAUAAUAAGAAAAUCAUCAUACAAGUGAUGAAACCAACGAUGAUUACACUUUUAGCCAUUUUUGCUUUUAGUUUCUGAUUUUUUUUGAUAGAAUGCUUAUGAUC
RNAcentral lists this long non-coding RNA (1306 nucleotides) under Capsella rubella. RNAcentral's name for it is "long non-coding RNA (CRUB_LNC002964)". The record is from RNAcentral. Lineage: Eukaryota; Viridiplantae; Streptophyta; Magnoliopsida; Brassicales; Brassicaceae.